This 3590-nucleotide unclassified non-coding RNA is filed under the name Ooceraea biroi (clonal raider ant). Its description in RNAcentral is "iNO80 complex subunit D, transcript variant X2". The record is from RNAcentral. Lineage: Eukaryota; Metazoa; Arthropoda; Insecta; Hymenoptera; Formicidae.
CUCAAAGUAAAACUUUUGCGGAGGAAUUAAUUGAUGCAGUCGAAGUCGACUGGCGAUCGUUAUUAAAGUCGUAACAGGAAUUUGCUCGUACGCUUUUUUCUAGUAUUCUACCGCUCGUACAACGUAACGACGUGACUGCAAUUCGCCGAGAGAGAUCGUCGCAUUGUGCAGCAGCGAUUGGCAUAUAGGUUAUGUCAAACUACCAAGUACGAAAGAAUCCUUCGAUCGUCGCGGCGUAAAGCGGUCGUUAGUUUACCGAACAUUCGGCUAGAGCAUUGUCCAAGGUCAAUCGACUUUUCGCGCAGCGUUGGAACGCCCGCGCCGUGGCGAAAUCGUCGCGAUUCAGGGAUUUUUCGUGUCGGAGAAGUGCUCGUGUGCAGCGCUACCGCCAUUUUACUUCCCCCAUACACCUGACAUGUCUUUCUAAUGUUAUUAUCGAUGAAUGUUGAAAUUUGUGCGUGAAACUGCUUUGACUUCGAGUUGAUCGCGCGAGGAGAGCGAGUUCACCUGAGGAAGAGAUACCGCUGUGUCUGAUUGGCGGAACGACCGUCGCUUUGUUGGAAGCGAUUGCCAUUGUUCCAACCUCAUUGCUCGGAUCGAGCGAAAUUCACACAGGGUUGACACAGGUAGCCCCAGGAUAGGGAUCGCGAGCGAUUUGAUCCGCUGCCAGGGCAGGAAUAUGUCGCGAGGCUCGUCCGAGGAACGCUUCUGGUCGUGCCGCUGAAACUCUGUCACGGUAUCUUGCACGGUAUCCUGUUAUCGAUGUAACGAGCGAACCUAACCAAAAAACAUCAUUGAUCAGAGCAACGUUGUGUGUGCUUGUGUCAAUAGUGGAGGGCUCUCGCUCGAUGAUAUGGCUCUGGUUCCGCCUCUGAGAUCGUCCAGACGCAGAAAUCCAGCAGUGUUGAUCGUCCUGACGUCUGUACGAUACACGAUGACGCAGUUGCUCAAACAUGUGUAGGGCAUGUUCGGUGUAAACUACUAUGCGAGGUGGAAGAGAUCUGGACAGAAGCGGCAAUCAAUGAAGGUCCCUAUUUCCGAAAACUCAAACAUGGACAAUAAAUUGAAGUUUUCGGAUCGCCUGAAGGCUUUGCUGAAAACCGAGGCACACGAAGAUGUUGAUCCGUACAUUUUUAGUGAACCAGAACCAUUUGCUACAGGAGCGGGAAGAAAUGCCACGCUGGUCCCGUCUACGCAUUCUAAAGUGAUGCAAAGCUGCAAGAACAACAAGUCUAAGGGGAAAUGUGCGAAGCAGAGGAUAAGAGUAGCACCUGUGCUGGACGCAGCCUACAAGACUGUCGGAGUGAACGCUAUAGGAGAGGCGAGCGUCGAGUGUGGUGCUGGAGAGAAUCAUAAAUUUUCUAAUCUAAUUCAAUCUAGACAGCGGCACAUUGAGAAUCUGAAAAGAUUAAGGUCCAAGAAGCAAAGCCGGGACCACACUCUGUUGUAUUAUCCUAGAGCUGGGGAUGAGAUAUUCGACAGUGAUUCGAGCGGAGACGAGAUGACGAUCCAUCAGCGUCAUUGGUUCUCCGGUGAAUCCGCCACGACGUUAAAUCGCGCAGCUCGACUGUCCCAACUGCGUCUGCAACUGCAACGGCAAUUGCUUCAGUUGCACAUCGACGGAGGUGGUACUGAACUGAUACUGCAACACAGAGUGAGAUGCCUGUUGGAGGCAGCGUCGAGAGAUCCCGCUUCCACCGCGAGGGCUUUGAUCGAUUCUCCAGGUACCAGCAAGGUACUCGACGGACCGCUGCUGGUUGGUGGACCAUGCGGAGCGGAAGGAUGCCAACAAACCUCCUUGCCUUGUACCCGGCAUUGCUCCCGUCAUAUUAUGUUAAACGGAGAUCAGCUGUUAUUUGAGCAUUGCACUGCCAAGUUUAGUGACAACACACAGUGUUGCGUUCCUGUAUUCGAUGUCGCGCACGAAUUACCUCUUUGUCCGGAACACGCAAGGAAGAGGGACAAUUAUCACCGUAAAGCCCAAGAAUCCAAACCAAAGAAGGCACGUAAAAAGCCAGCCUCUCCCACUAUCCCGGCGAAGCCUAAACCCAAGUCGAAGCCGAAGAAGCGCAAACGGCCGCCCUCCAACAAGAUAGAGACCAAGGGUGCCACAUUAUUGCACGAGGAGAGUCAUUACAUGAGCCAAAUAAAUUGUAGUGAAAAUCACACCAAGACAUUAAACAACCUGAAUGUUCCGCAGGGAAGUUCAAAUACGUCUAACUUAAAUCUAGGAUUGGGAUUAGGCUCUCUCGGACUUGGCGGAGGACUCAAGGUUGAGCUUGGAGAUAACGAGGUGUUCGCUUCUCUGGAUUCUGCUGAGCACGAUUUUGGCACCGUGCUCAACAACUUACCGCCCGAUGCUUUUAACGACUUGUUUAUCGAGGGUAGAAAUGGAGAUUACGAGCCGUCAAGAGAGGAGGAAGAGGAAUUGCAACGGGCUUUGGACGAAGUUGAUAAAGAUGUACGGAAUUUGGAAAGGAUGGGGCAAACGCAUGGACUCUUGGAGCCGGCAUUGCUCGCCCAGCUUAUGUCGGACAUCGCCUCGUAGCCCCGCUAAUCUUAAUACAACAAUUUCUCUGGACAUGAAUUCGCGUGUGUUCCUUGUAAUGUAGAAAGAAGGAGGUACUGUUUGUGUCUGUGCUGCUAAACGUAAGAUUGCGUUGUAGACUGUUAUUACGUAGCCACGCAAGUCCGAGAUAAUGGCAGGGAUUGACAUACAGAAAGUAAAAACGAAAAAGAAAAAAGAAAGAAAAAAAAUACAAUAGCGAACUUAUCAAUUUAGUGUAAACUGCAUCGGGUACAACGCCGCGGGUAGGUUUAUGUCAAACGAGUAGCAAUGUAUAAACCGAGAGAAUUCCAUCCUUUUUGACAAAUAAUCACGGACAUCAUCAUCAUUAUAAUACUUGCGAUUAUAUUUCUAGUUUAUUUGCAGAUAUUUUGACUUACUUGCACUUGGAGAAAUUUGCUUAGAAAAAUUGUUCUAGCUGUAAUUGACGUGUACAACAACGAGAGUGUAGAACGUAUGACGGGGUAAAAAGAGGAAAUGUGGAUAAUGUUACGUAAAUGGUUCACAAACUAGGUUCCAACACACACACACACACACACACACACACACACACACACACACACACACACACACACACACACACACGAGCUAAACAAGAUAUAUAAUUUUCAUUUUUAUAUAUGGCUUGUCUCUGCUGUACGAAGAACAAGGAUAAUCUAAAUUACGUUACUAAUAGCGUCCAUAUUUAUUGAAUUGCCCGUAAUGUAUAGCUAAUUACUGAUUAUUCAAAUAAUAGGUACAAAAGUAUUUUUAUGACUGAUUUAUAACGAUUUUGUUUGUUAUUAAUUGCACUGUGCAAAUUGCGGAAAAGAAAAAUCUGUACAAAACCAGACAUGAGCUACAAAUUAUAGUACAGACUAAUUGGAGUUCGAAACGAUUAACAAAAUUAGAAGUAGCAUUAUUUUCUUGUAAAGGAUGAACGUAGCUUGAAAAAAGUUUAACGAUUCAAUUUGGAACACGAAGCGUGAAGAAUCUUGAGAAAUACUAUCGAAAUUUUAUUUAAAUAAAAUACAUUUUUCCACAA